CCCUUCGGUUGAUCCUGCCGGAGAUCACCGCUUUUGGGGUUCGAUUAAGCCAUGCGAGUCUUUGGCAGCAAUGCCAAGGCGAACUGCUGAGUAACACGUAGUUAACCUGCCCUUAAGUCAGGGAUAAUCUCGGGAAACUGAGCAUAAUACNUGAUAAGUGAUAAUGCCUGGAACGGUUUAUCACACAAAGCUUAGGCGCUCAAGGAUGGGACUGCGGUAGAUUAGGUUGAUGUUAGGGUAACUGCCUAACAUGCCGAUAAUCUAUAGGGGCUGUGAGAGCAGUAGCCCCCAGAUGGGUUCUGAGACACGAACCCAGGUCCUAAGGGACGCAGCAGGCGCGAAACCUCCGCAAUGCACGCAAGUGUGACGGGGGGACCUCAGGUGCUAGCGCUACAAGCGUUAGCUUUUCGUGAGUUUAAAUUGCUCGCGGAAUAAGUGGUGGGUAAGACCGUUGCCAGCCGCCGCGGUAAUAACGGCACCACAAGUGGUGAUCACGUGUAUUGGGUCUAAAGCAUCCGUAGCCGGAUAAUCAAGUCAUUUGUGAAACUUCACAGAAAACUGUGAAAAGUGCAAGUGAAACUAGUUAUCUUGGGACCGGGAAGGGUUAGAGGUACUUCUAGGGUAGAGGUGGAAUUCUGUAAUCCUAGAGGGACCACCUGUGGCGAAGGCGUCUAACUGGAACGGAUCCGACGGUGAGGGAUGAAAGCUAGGGGAGCAAAGGGGAUUAGAUACCCCCGUAGUCCUAGCUGUAAACGAUGCCCGCUAGGUAUUGUGUGUUUUUCGCGAACAUGCAGUGCCGUAGGGAAGCCAUUAAGCGGGCCACCUGGGAAGUACGGUCGCAAGGCUGAAACUUAAAGGAAUUGGCGGG
RNAcentral lists this ribosomal RNA (868 nucleotides) under uncultured archaeon. Its description in RNAcentral is "bacterial SSU rRNA". It matches the Rfam family "Archaeal small subunit ribosomal RNA", at positions 1 to 872 of the family's 1478-position model. The record is from RNAcentral.